Molecule: ribosomal RNA, 409 nt
Filed under: Bacillus licheniformis
Lineage: Bacteria; Bacillati; Bacillota; Bacilli; Caryophanales; Bacillaceae
Description: bacterial SSU rRNA
Rfam family: Bacterial small subunit ribosomal RNA
Source: RNAcentral
GCGGACGGGUGAGUAACACGUGGGUAACCUGCCUGUAAGACUGGGAUAACUCCGGGAAACCGGGGCUAAUACCGGAUGCUUGAUUGAACCGCAUGGUUCAAUCAUAAAAGGUGGCUUUUAGCUACCACUUACAGAUGGACCCGCGGCGCAUUAGCUAGUUGGGGAGGUAACGGCUCACCAAGGCGACGAUGCGUAGCCGACCUGAAAGGGGGAUCGGCCACCCUGGGACUGAAACACGGCCCAAACUCCUACGGGAGGCAGCAGUAGGGAAUCUUCCGCAAUGGACGAAAGUCUGACGGAGCAACGCCCCGUGAGUGAUGAAGGUUUUCGGAUCGUAAAACUCUGUUGUUAGGGAAGAACAAGUACCGUUCGAAUAGGGCGGUACCUUGACGGUACCUAACCAGAAAGC